Molecule: long non-coding RNA, 1723 nt
Organism: Tigriopus californicus
Lineage: Eukaryota; Metazoa; Arthropoda; Copepoda; Harpacticoida; Harpacticidae
Exons: 3
Source: RefSeq, a predicted model, not a curated record
GCAAAAGAUUCGGGCGCUUGUUCGAUAUCACGUAGAGACAGAUCGCAUUGCUGCCGAUCAAUUGUCAUAUCGAGUACUUGAUGGCAGUCUUGAAGAUAGACAUUGCCGGUAGACUGGCAAGUCAAAAACGAUUCAAAGUCUUUCGUCAGCAGAACUCGAUCAUCCGUCGAAAUGGACAAGAGGUGAUAUCCAUUGCUUUGGCUGGAGAGCAGCGGUGUUCCUAAACGAUCGCUCAAAUGAUGACGGAACAACUUAUUAUGAGUUCAGGUGUUAAAAGAUCUCACCAUCGAUUGCAGAGGCAUUUAGGAAGCCUCUCCUCUGCUCCAUGUCGAAAUAACGCAAGAUCCCCACCAAGUGAUUAUUUUCCGCAUGACCAACUAGGAUGGUGUCAUCUUUGAAUUGGAGUAUCACUCGCCCCUCCAACUGAUCAGCCAGAAAGUUGCCCGAAAUUGACCUAAUACCCGGGUGGGAAAUUGAUAGACAUCGGCCCGUUCUAAAGCCGUGUUUGAAUUUCCCGUGAUCGUUGAUAUGGCUCGGGAAGGUCAGAAUGCCAUGGCCAUUGAAAGGACCUCGCUUGACCUUCGACUUCUCCAUGCUCUUCAAGAAAAAAAAUGUUAAAAUUGUGGAUGUCAUUGACUGGUUAAGAACAACAAAAAGCAAGAAAAAUCAAGCGGCCCUUGAUUAAGCCAUGUAAGUGUGGCGGUAAAUGUAUCUGGAGGAAGGGUUAAAAACUCUUACCUGAUAAUUGUAACCAAAGAUAGCUCCACGUUGGGAGCAAUCGACGAUGGAAAAUAUUUCUCCACUCCCUCCUCCCGGUCCUUCCAUCUUCACGGCAUCAACCUGAUCCACCGCCACGUCUUUGGUGUCGCUCCUUUUGCAAUCAUAUUUCAAGUCGGUAAAGUCGGCGAACCACGACUUUAAUUCCUGUUUGGCGUUAAUUGUCGUUGAGUGGACGCAAGCUUCAAAAAUGGCAACCGAACAAAGGAAUCUUCCAAAAUUUGAUUUAAGAUCCGGCAUGGUGCAAAUCCGGCAGGAAAUGAGAGUCACUAUAACACCACAACUUCACGCGGAAUGGCGCUUGUCUCAGAAAUACCUAGACCAAGUUAGACAACUACAACACACAACAGCUCUUCCCUCCAUUGACGGAUAAGCGUAGAAGAGAAGAGAAAUUAUGCUUCGUACAAGAAAAGCGAGCUCUCCCGAUUCGUUCUGACAGCGCCACCACAGGUGUCAUGAAAUGAAUUCAUUGACCAUGUCCUGGAGUGAUCCUGAGUGUGGCUGAAGACACUGAAGUCAUUUUUCCCAAAAAGAGGCCUGCCCAAUUCACGCCAAUCUUCUCUGUCAUUCAGCCACCACAAGCUGGCUUGGUGGUUUCUAUCUACCUUAAAGGCAGCCACAUCAAGCACAAGGAAGCCCGUUGUGGGACAAUUGCUAUUGUAAUUGCCUCUUCCGGCCUUUUUGAGCCUGCCAUCGAACCUGAGCAUGAAUUGACAAGACACCUGUUCGUGUUAUGUCCUUCACUUUUGGAAAUGAAGAGAUCACGUCGGAUAUCAAUAAUCUUUAUUCCAGAUAGUCCCGGAUGCUACAGUAUGCGCAUUGAUUUUUUGCAUUUUCAAACAAGGUUAUAUCGAGCAAAAUAGAAACUGAAAGAAGAGUCGUACAAUUAUUGUUAUUUUUGUCCUGUUGUUAAGGAAGAGUUGUAGGGAUACCUUAAUUACAGCUC